AUAUGCCUACGGGGGGCAGCAGUGGGGAAUAUUGCACAAUGGGGGGAACCCUGAUGCAGCGACGCCGCGUGAAGGAAGAAGUAUUUCGGUAUGUAAACUUCUAUCAGCAGGGAAGAAAAUGACGGUACCUGACUAAGAAGCCCCGGCUAACUACGUGCCAGCAGCCGCGGUAAUACGUAGGGGGCAAGCGUUAUCCGGAUUUACUGGGUGUAAAGGGAGCGUAGGCGGCGAUGCAAGUCAGAAGUGAAAGCCCGGGGCUCAACCCCGGAACUGCUUUGGAAACUGCGCAGCUGGAGUGCGGGAGG
This 305-nucleotide ribosomal RNA is filed under the name uncultured bacterium. RNAcentral describes it as "bacterial SSU rRNA". It matches the Rfam family "Bacterial small subunit ribosomal RNA", at positions 333 to 655 of the family's 1533-position model. The record is from RNAcentral.